This 253-nucleotide ribosomal RNA is filed under the name uncultured bacterium. RNAcentral describes it as "partial 16S ribosomal RNA". It matches the Rfam family "Bacterial small subunit ribosomal RNA", at positions 524 to 776 of the family's 1533-position model. The record is from RNAcentral.
UACGUAGGUGACAAGCGUUGUCCGGAUUUACUGGGCGUAAAGAGCGCGCAGGCGGUCGAUCAAGUCGAGUGUGAAAGCCCCCGGCUCAACUGGGGAGGGUCAUUCGAUACUGAUCGACUCGAAGGCAGGAGAGGGUAGUGGAAUUCCCGGUGUAGUGGUGAAAUGCGUAGAUAUCGGGAGGAACACCAGUGGCGAAGGCGACUACCUGGCCUGUUCUUGACGCUGAGGCGCGAAGGCGUGGGGAGCGAACGGG